Molecule: long non-coding RNA, 505 nt
Filed under: Anas platyrhynchos platyrhynchos (common mallard)
Lineage: Eukaryota; Metazoa; Chordata; Aves; Anseriformes; Anatidae
Description: lncRNA (ENSAPLG00000026374.1)
Source: RNAcentral
CCAGGCCAUAACAUGUUUCAAGAAAAUGAAGUCCUUUGUUACAGAAAUGCAUAUGCAGUCGCAUGGCAUCAGAGAAACUAGACAAUAUAGAUCGUUAUGACAUCUUAACUCUGGCAGUUAGCUACAGUUCGGUCAUACUGUUCUAUGCUAGUUAUGAAAUGCCAUUUAGCGAUCAACGCUGCACAGAAGGACUCAGCCUAGAACACAAAGACUUAUCUGGAAAGUGUUCUUAUGCAACAGAGAACUGGAAAAAAAAAAAAAAAGCUACUCCUAAUUUUCCCCGAAUUCUCCAAUCAUCCUUCUGUGUACAUCCGAAGAUGUACAAGAUCCUUUAUAUCUUCAAAAUAAGACAACAUGGCUGGAAUAAAGAGUUCAUCUUCUUGGAGGAGCACAAAGAACAUGUAGAGACCUUUGUACAGAAGCAUAUAACUGUGAAAGAUUUUAAAUGACCAAGAAUCCAGUAUGUGUAACAUAAGUAAGGUACUUUCCUCCAGUUCAAACUGUU